GAUGAACGCUGGCGGCGUGCCUAAUACAUGCAAGUCGAGCGAACAGACGAGGAGCUUGCUCCUCUGACGUUAGCGGCGGACGGGUGAGUAACACGUGGAUAACCUACCUAUAUGACUGGGAUAACUUCGGGAAACCGGAGCUAAUACCGGAUAAUAUAUUGAACCGCAUGGUUCAAUAGUGAAAGACGGCUUUGCUGUCACUUAUAGAUGGUUCCGCGCCGCAUUAGCUAGUUGGUAAGGUAACGGCUUACCAAGGCGACGAUGCGUAGCCGACCUGAGAGGGUGAUCGGCCACACUGGAACUGAGACACGGUCCAGACUCCUACGGGAGGCAGCAGUAGGGAAUCUUCCGCAAUGGGCGAAAGCCUGACGGAGCAACGCCGCGUGAGUGAUGAAGGUCUUCGGAUCGUAAAACUCUGUUAUUAGGGAAGAACAAAUGUGUAAGUAACUAUGCACGUCUUGACGGUACCUAAUCAGAAAGCCACGGCUAACUACGUG
RNAcentral lists this ribosomal RNA (497 nucleotides) under uncultured bacterium. RNAcentral describes it as "partial 16S ribosomal RNA". It matches the Rfam family "Bacterial small subunit ribosomal RNA", at positions 28 to 507 of the family's 1533-position model. The record is from RNAcentral.